This 386-nucleotide ribosomal RNA is filed under the name uncultured bacterium. Its description in RNAcentral is "bacterial SSU rRNA". It matches the Rfam family "Bacterial small subunit ribosomal RNA", at positions 28 to 417 of the family's 1533-position model. The record is from RNAcentral.
GACGAACGCUGGCGGCGUGCUUAACACAUGCAAGUCGAACGGUGAACCUUCUUCGGGAGGGGAUCAGUGGCGAACGGGUGAGUAACACGUGGGCAACCUGCCUCUAGCUCUGGGAUAACUCCGGGAAACCGGGGCUAAUACCGGAUAUGACCUGCCUGGGCAUCUGGGUGGGUGGAAAGUUUUUCGGCUAGGGAUGGGCCCGCGGCCUAUCAGCUUGUUGGUGGGGUGAUGGCCUACCAAGGCGACGACGGGUAGCCGGCCUGAGAGGGCGACCGGCCACACUGGGACUGAGACACGGCCCAGACUCCUACGGGAGGCAGCAGUGGGGAAUAUUGCGCAAUGGGCGAAAGCCUGACGCAGCGACGCCGCGUGAGGGAUGACGGCCU